Dermacentor andersoni is the source of this 186-nucleotide small nuclear RNA. RefSeq annotates it as U2 spliceosomal RNA. The record is from RefSeq and is a predicted model, not a curated record. NCBI's taxonomy places the organism in Eukaryota, Metazoa, Arthropoda, Arachnida, Ixodida, Ixodidae.
AGUGCUAACGUAGACGCGGGUUAAAGUGUAGUGUCCCUUCUUAUCAGCUUAAUAUCUGAUACGAGUUGUAUUGGGACCUAAGAUGUUAAACUUAUUUUUACAAGUUGGCGGAGUGCUUAAAGCCUGCUUCACUUUCGCCGCGGGCCGGUCCGGUGUUACACUAUCUUCGGUAUCGGCCCACGUAAG